GCCCAGCCUGCUGGCGCGGCUGGAGGCGGUGCUGGCCGACCCGCGCCUACCCGACGCCGUACUCGACCACAGGCUGGCGUCGCUGCGCGCCGACUGGAAGAGCAAGUCGGAGCAGCUGUUCGAGUACUGGAGUGGCGAGGGCGGCGACGGCGGUCGCACCCACGCGCAGACGCAGGCCUUCGUGGCCGCGCUCGGCUGCCAGCAGUGCGACCUGCCCCUGCUGCAGUUCUGGAUGACCUCCAGCUGAGGGCGCUCCAGUGGAGAGGCUGCCCCAGCGGAGGAGCCGCUCCAGCGUAGGGGUUAACCUAGCGCAGGAGCCUCUCCAGGGGAGAGGCUGCCCAGCGGAGGAGCCGCUCCAGCGGAGAGGCUGCCCAGCGGAGGAGCCGCUCCAGCGGAGAGGCUGCCCAGCGGAGGAGCCGCUCCAGCGGAGAGGCUGCCCCAGCGGAGGAGCCGCUCCAGCGAAGAGGCUGCCCCAGCGGAGAAACCGUUCCAGCGGAGAGGCUGCCCCAGCGGAGGAACCGCUCCAGCGGAGAGGCUGCCCCAGCGGAGGAGCCGCUCCAGCGGAGAGGCUGCCCCAGCGGAGGAACCGCUCCAGCGGAGGGGUUAACCUGGCGCAGGAGCCUCCCCAGGGGAGAGGCUGCCUCAGCGGAGGAGCCUCUCCAGCGGAGAGGCUGCCCAGCGGAGGAGCCGCUCCAGUGGAGAGGCUGCCCCAGAUAACGUCGGGGCGAAGGAGCCAACCCUGUAAGGGCCUGUCCCCGCCGUGGGACGGCAGGGACGUCAGCCGGUCUCUCGGACACGUGACCACUCUAGUCAGAGAGCCGGGGUCAGGACCCCGGCUGGUUACCGUUGCGGUGCCGGGAGCAGGGCUCGAAUUAGCCGUAGACGCCGUCUUCCUGUGUGCAGCCGGUCAGGCUAACUGGCGGACGAGCGCCUUGCGUGCUGCGGGUGACGUUUCGCUGGCCGCGCGCGCCAGGGGCUCCCCUGAGCGCUGCCACCACGGCAGGAGGCCGCCUGCUGAGGUGGGCAGCUGCCAUGCCUCUUUUAUCGUUAGCGUGUGCCGUGAGUGGCCGCCGACGGAUGUGGAGGGACGGUUUGCACUGUUAAUGGAAUGUAUCAGGAAGCUUGGGCUGUCAUAUGUACCAUUGUUACGCCAAUCAUUGUGUGCUGUAUUUCAAAGAUACGUAUGAUAUGUU
Molecule: long non-coding RNA, 1193 nt
Organism: Pollicipes pollicipes
Lineage: Eukaryota; Metazoa; Arthropoda; Thecostraca; Pollicipedomorpha; Pollicipedidae
Exons: 2
Source: RefSeq, a predicted model, not a curated record